AUUGAACGCUGGCGGCAGGCCUAACACAUGCAAGUCGAGCGGAUGAAGGGAGCUUGCUCCUGGAUUCAGCGGCGGACGGGUGAGUAAUGCCUAGGAAUCUGCCUGGUAGUGGGGGAUAACGUCCGGAAACGGGCGCUAAUACCGCAUACGUCCUGAGGGAGAAAGUGGGGGAUCUUCGGACCUCACGCUAUCAGAUGAGCCUAGGUCGGAUUAGCUAGUUGGUGGGGUAAAGGCCUACCAAGGCGACGAUCCGUAACUGGUCUGAGAGGAUGAUCAGUCACACUGGAACUGAGACACGGUCCAGACUCCUACGGGAGACAGCAGUGGGGAAUAUUGGACAAUGGGCGAAAGCCUGAUCCAGCCAUGCCGCGUGUGUGAAGAAGGUCUUCGGAUUGUAAAGCACUUUAAGUUGGGAGGAAGGGCAGUAAGUUAAUACCUUGCUGUUUUGGCGUUACCAACAGAAUAAGCACCGGCUAACUUCGUG
RNAcentral lists this ribosomal RNA (484 nucleotides) under uncultured bacterium. RNAcentral's name for it is "partial 16S ribosomal RNA". It matches the Rfam family "Bacterial small subunit ribosomal RNA", at positions 30 to 507 of the family's 1533-position model. The record is from RNAcentral.